AAUGCGAUAAGUAAUGUGAAUUGCAGAAUUCAGUGAAUCAUCGAAUCUUUGAACGCACCUUGCGCUCCUUGGUAUUCCGAGGAGCAUGCCUGUUUGAGUGUCAUC
This 105-nucleotide ribosomal RNA is filed under the name Sarcodon imbricatus. RNAcentral describes it as "partial 5.8S ribosomal RNA". It matches the Rfam family "5.8S ribosomal RNA", at positions 52 to 154 of the family's 154-position model. Rfam says of the family: 5.8S ribosomal RNA (5.8S rRNA) is a component of the large subunit of the eukaryotic ribosome. It is transcribed by RNA polymerase I as part of the 45S precursor that also contains 18S and 28S rRNA. The record is from RNAcentral. Lineage: Eukaryota; Fungi; Basidiomycota; Agaricomycetes; Thelephorales; Thelephoraceae.